This 512-nucleotide ribosomal RNA is filed under the name uncultured bacterium. RNAcentral's name for it is "partial 16S ribosomal RNA". It matches the Rfam family "Bacterial small subunit ribosomal RNA", at positions 28 to 523 of the family's 1533-position model. The record is from RNAcentral.
GACGAACGCUGGCGGCGUGCCUAAUACAUGCAAGUCGAGCGGACAGAAGGGAGCUUGCUCCCGGAAGUCAGCGGCGGACGGGUGAGUAACACGUGGGUAACCUGCCUAUAAGACUGGGAUAACUCCGGGAAACCGGGGCUAAUACCGGAUAAUAUCAAGAGCUGCAUGGCUUUCGGUUGAAAGGCGGCUUCGGACGGCACUUAUCGAUGGCCCCGCGGCGCAUUAGCUAGUUGGGGGGGUAACGGCCCACCAAGGCAACGAUGCGUAGCCGACCUGAGAGGGUGAUCGGCCACACUGGGACUGAGACACGGCCCAGACUCCUACGGGAGGCAGCAGUAGGGAAUCUUCCGCAAUGGACGAAAGUCUGACGGAGCAACGCCGCGUGAGUGAAGAAGGUUUUCGGAUCGUAAAACUCUGUUGUCAGGGAAGAACAAGUACCGGAGUAACUGCCGGUACCUUGACGGUACCUGACCAGAAAGCCACGGCUAACUACGUGCCAGCCGCCGCGGUAA